This 1217-nucleotide ribosomal RNA is filed under the name uncultured bacterium. RNAcentral's name for it is "bacterial SSU rRNA". It matches the Rfam family "Bacterial small subunit ribosomal RNA", at positions 78 to 1316 of the family's 1533-position model. The record is from RNAcentral.
CCCAAGGUUUUUUACCUGGCGCACGGGUGAGUAAUAUAUAGUUAAUCUGCCCUAGAGAAAGGGAUAACGUUUGGAAACGAACGCUAACACCUUAUAUGCCUUUAUCACAUAAGUGAGCAAGGGAAACAUUUAUGGCUCUAGGAUGAGACUGUACGGUAUCAGUUAGUUGGUGAGGUAAUGGCUCACCAAGACAAUGACGCCUAACUGGUUUGAGAGGAUGAUCAGUCACACUGGAACUGAGACACGGUCCAGACUCCUACGGGAGGCAGCAGUGGGGAAUAUUGCACAAUGGAGGAAACUCUGAUGCAGCAACGCCGCGUGGAGGAUGACACUUUUCGGAGCGUAAACUCCUUUUAUAUAGGAAGAUAAUGACGGUACUAUAUGAAUAAGCACCGGCUAACUCCGUGCCAGCAGCCGCGGUAAUACGGAGGGUGCAAGCGUUACUCGGAAUCACUGGGCGUAAAGGGCGUGUAGGCGGGUUAAUAAGUUGGAAGUGAAAUCCUAUGGCUCAACCAUAGAACUGCUUUCAAAACUGUUAACCUAGAAUAUGGGAGAGGUAGAUGGAAUUUCUGGUGUAGGGGUAAAAUCCGUAGAGAUCAGAAGGAAUACCGAUUGCGAAGGCGAUCUACUGGAACAUUAUUGACGCUGAGACGCGAAAGCGUGGGGAGCAAACAGGAUUAGAUACCCUGGUAGUCCACGCCCUAAACGAUGUACACUAGUUGUUGCGAUGCUAGACAUUGCAGUAAUGCAGUUAACACAUUAAGUGUACCGCCUGGGGAGUACGGUCGCAAGAUUAAAACUCAAAGGAAUAGACGGGGACCCGCACAAGCGGUGGAGCAUGUGGUUUAAUUCGACGAUACGCGAAGAACCUUACCUGGACUUGACAUAGAAAGAAUUUCGCAGAGAUGUAAAAGUGCUAGCUUGCUAGAACUUUCAUACAGGUGCUGCACGGCUGUCGUCAGCUCGUGUCGUGAGAUGUUGGGUUAAGUCCCGCAACGAGCGCAACCCUCGUCGUUAGUUGCUAACAGUUCGGCUGAGAACUCUAACGAGACUGCCUGGGUAACCAGGAGGAAGGUGAGGACGACGUCAAGUCAUCAUGGCCCUUACGUCCAGGGCUACACACGUGCUACAAUGGGGCAUACAAAGAGCAGCAAUACCGCGAGGUGGAGCAAAUCUCAAAAAUGCCUCCCAGUUCGGAUAGCACUCUGCAACUCGAG